AUUGAACGCUGGCGGCAUGCCUUACACAUGCAAGUCGAACGGCAGCACGGGAGCAAUCCUGGUGGCGAGUGGCGAACGGGUGAGUAAUAUAUCGGAACGUGCCCAGUCGUGGGGAUAACGUAGCGAAAGCUACGCUAAUACCGCAUACGAUCUAUGGAUGAAAGCGGGGGAUCGCAAGACCUCGCGCGAUUGGAGCGGCCGAUAUCAGAUUAGGUAGUUGGUGAGGUAAAGGCUCACCAAGCCGACGAUCUGUAGCUGGUCUGAGAGGACGACCAGCCACACUGGGACUGAGACACGGCCCAGACUCCUACGGGAGGCAGCAGUGGGGAAUUUUGGACAAUGGGCGCAAGCCUGAUCCAGCCAUGCCGCGUGCAGGAUGACGGUCCUAUGGAUUGUAAACUGCUUUUAUACAGGAAGAAACACUCCGACGUGUCGGAGCUUGACGGUACUGUAAGAAUAAGGAUCGGCUAACUCCG
RNAcentral lists this ribosomal RNA (476 nucleotides) under uncultured bacterium. RNAcentral describes it as "bacterial SSU rRNA". It matches the Rfam family "Bacterial small subunit ribosomal RNA", at positions 30 to 505 of the family's 1533-position model. The record is from RNAcentral.